This 234-nucleotide long non-coding RNA is filed under the name Nicotiana benthamiana. RNAcentral describes it as "long non-coding RNA (NBEN_LNC000982)". The record is from RNAcentral. Lineage: Eukaryota; Viridiplantae; Streptophyta; Magnoliopsida; Solanales; Solanaceae.
UCCAUUUUGGUGCGAUAUGGCGGUGCUACAGGCACAUAUACUGCGCAUCAAAAAUACUUAAAAGGGAUAUAUUAGGUUCAUGACCUAAAACUAAUUGCAACGGAGAAUAUUUGUGAUAAUUUGUCGGUCUGAGAGGAACUAGCAUUGCUGUCCUAUCUAAUAUUUCAUAAUAUUUAUCGUGAAUUAUUAAAUAUACAUUGUAAUAAUAUGCAUACAAAAGGAGAAAGACUGUGU